UACAGAGGGUGCUAGCGUUAAUCGGAAUUACUGGGCGUAAAGGGCGCGUAGGUGGUUAAUUAAGUUGGAUGUGAAAUCCCUGGGCUUAACCUAGGAAUGGCAUACAAGACUGGAUAACUGGAGUACUGUAGAGGGUAGUGGAAUUUCCGGUGUAGCGGUGAAAUGCGUAGAGAUCGGAAGGAACACCAGUGGCGAAGGCGGCUACCUGGACAGAUACUGACACUGAGGCGCGAGAGCGUGGGGAGCAAACAGG
This 253-nucleotide ribosomal RNA is filed under the name uncultured prokaryote. RNAcentral's name for it is "partial 16S ribosomal RNA". It matches the Rfam family "Bacterial small subunit ribosomal RNA", at positions 524 to 776 of the family's 1533-position model. The record is from RNAcentral.